Molecule: ribosomal RNA, 253 nt
Filed under: uncultured bacterium
Lineage: Bacteria
Description: partial 16S ribosomal RNA
Rfam family: Bacterial small subunit ribosomal RNA
Source: RNAcentral
UACGUAGGGUGCGAGCGUUGUCCGGAAUUAUUGGGCGUAAAGGGCUCGUAGGCGGUUUGUCGCGUCGGGAGUGAAAACCCAGGGCUUAACCCUGGGCUGGCUUCCGAUACGGGCAGACUAGAGGUAUGCAGGGGAGAACGGAAUUCUUGGUGUAGCGGUGAAAUGCGUAGAUAUCAAGAGGAACACCUGAGGUGAAGACGGGUUGCUGGGCUGACACUGACGCUGAGGCGCGAAAGCCAGGGGAGCAAACGGG